Molecule: long non-coding RNA, 1069 nt
Filed under: Citrus x clementina
Lineage: Eukaryota; Viridiplantae; Streptophyta; Magnoliopsida; Sapindales; Rutaceae
Description: Citrus clementina (C. clementina) long non-coding RNA (CCLE_LNC004817)
Source: RNAcentral
AAGGCUAUAGCCCACCCGUUUUUGUGGCCUUUUUCCGCUGGACGAACUUGGCGCCCCGGCCUUCGGGUGGUUAUUUUUGGGUGCAGCCUAGUGCGCGGCCUAUUUUUGGCACACGGAGGCCCCUCGCAAAGUCUCGCGGCAUUCCGAGUCCGGCGGACGAAGUUGGCCAGCCCCACCCCCCAAGGCUAUAGCCCACCCGUUUUUGUGGCUUUUUUCCGCUGGACGAACUUGGCGCCCCGGCCUUCGGGCGGUUAUUUUUGGCCGCGGCUUCGUCCGUGGCCUAUUUUUGGCACACGGAGGCCCCCCGCAAACUCUCCCGGCAUUCCGAGUCCGGCGGACGAAGUCGGCCAGCUUCACCACCCAGGCUGUUGCCCACCCCUUUUUGUGGCCUUUUUCCGCUGGACGAACUUGGCGCCCCAGCCUUUGGGCUGUUAUUUAUGGGUGCGGCUUUGUCUACGGCCUAUUUUUGGCAGACGCAGGCCCCUCGCAAAGUCUCGCGGCAUUCCGAGUCCGGCGGACGAAGUCGGCCAGCCCCACCCCCCAAGGCUAUAGCCCACCCGUUUUUGUGGCCUUUUUCCGCUGGACGAACUUGGCGCCCCGGCCUUCGGGCGGUUUUUUUCUGGUGCGGUUUUGCCCGCGGCCUAUUUUUGGCACUUGGAGGCCCCUCGUAAAGUCUCGCGGCAUUCCGAGUCCGGCGGAAGAAGUUGGCCAGCCCCACCCUCCAAGGCUAUAGCCCACCCGUUUUUGUGGCCUUUUUCCGCUGGACGAACUUGGGGCCCCGGCCUUCGGGCGGUUAUUUUUGGGCACGGCUUUGCCCGCGGCCUAUUUUUGGCAAAUGGAGGCCCCUCGCAAAGUCUCGCGGCAUUCCGAGUCCGGCGGAAGAAGUUGGCCAGCCCCACCCCCCAAGGCUAUAGCCCACCCGUUUUUGUGGCCUUUUUCGGCUGGUCAAAAUUGGCGGCCCGGCCUUCGGGUGGUUACUCUUGGGCGCGGCUUUGUCCCCGGCCUGUUUUUGGCACAUGGAGGCCCCUCCAAAAGUCUCUCGGCAUUCCGAGUCCGGCGGACGAAGUAG